GAUGAAGAACGUAGCGAAAUGCGAUAAGUAAUGUGAAUUGCAGAAUUCAGUGAAUCAUCGAAUCUUUGAACGCACAUUGCGCCCCUUGGUAUUCCGAGGGGCAUGCCUGUUCGAGCGUCAUUACACCACUCAAGCUAUGCUUGGUAUUGGGCGUCGUCCUUAGUUGGCCGCGCCUUAAAGACCUCGGCGAGGCCACUCCGGCUUUAGGCGUAGUAGAAUUUAUUCGAACGUCUGUCAAAGGAGAGGAACUCUGCCGACUGAAACCUUUAUUUUUCUAGGUUGACCUCGGAUCAGGUAGGGAUACCCGCUGAACUUAAGCAUAUCAAUAAGCGGAGGA
RNAcentral lists this unclassified non-coding RNA (337 nucleotides) under soil metagenome. RNAcentral's name for it is "partial contains 5.8S ribosomal RNA, internal transcribed spacer 2, and large subunit ribosomal RNA". The stretch from base 1 to 120 matches the Rfam family "5.8S ribosomal RNA", at positions 35 to 154 of the family's 154-position model. The record is from RNAcentral.